Molecule: transfer RNA, 71 nt
Filed under: Ophioplinthus gelida
Lineage: Eukaryota; Metazoa; Echinodermata; Ophiuroidea; Amphilepidida; Ophiuridae
Description: tRNA-Ser
Rfam family: tRNA
About the family: Transfer RNA (tRNA) molecules are approximately 80 nucleotides in length.
Source: RNAcentral
AGAGAGAUGGCAGAUUGUAAUGCAGUUAGUUUGAAACUAAAGUGAUGCAGGUUUAAUUCCUGUUCUCUUUU